GUGCCAGCCGCCGCGGUAAGACGGACCGUACGAACGUUAUUCGGAAUUACUGGGCUUAAGGGUGCGUAGGCGGCUCAGAAAGUUGAAUGUGAAAGCCCUCGGCUUAACCGAGGAAUUGCAUCCAAAACUACUGGGCUUGAGUGAGACAGAGGUGAGCGGAACUCACGGUGGAGCGGUGAAAUGCGUUGAUAUCGUGAGGAACACCGGUGGCGAAAGCGGCUCACUGGGUCUUUGCUGACGCUGAGGCACGAAAGCUAGGGGAGCGAACGGGAUUAGAUACCCCCGUAGUCC
RNAcentral lists this ribosomal RNA (291 nucleotides) under uncultured bacterium. RNAcentral's name for it is "partial 16S ribosomal RNA". It matches the Rfam family "Bacterial small subunit ribosomal RNA", at positions 505 to 796 of the family's 1533-position model. The record is from RNAcentral.